Molecule: RNA transcript, 2059 nt
Organism: Lagenorhynchus albirostris (white-beaked dolphin)
Lineage: Eukaryota; Metazoa; Chordata; Mammalia; Artiodactyla; Delphinidae
Gene: NEU1
Gene name: neuraminidase 1
Exons: 8
Source: RefSeq, a predicted model, not a curated record
GCUGGGAUUGGGGCGGGUUUGAGGGUGACAGCUGAGCGUUUAAAGGGCCGGGGUCAGUUGACGAAUCCAGCCCGCGUCUAGUCCUGGGGGGCCAGGGUCUCUGCUGCCGCGAGGGAGAGAUGACUGCGGAGCGACCCGGCACAGUGCCCCUGGGCAGACACGGGAGACCGCGAAUGCUGGGAUCAUGGGGAGUCUGUAGGGUUCAGGUGUUUGCCGCGAUCUUCCUGCUGCUGUUGUCUUCAGCAGGAGUCGGGGCCAGGGCAAAGGACGACUUCAGUCUGGUUCGUCCGCUUGUGACCAUGGAGCAACUGCUGUGGGUGAGCGGGAAGCAGAUCGGCUCUGUGGACACCUUCCGCAUCCCGCUCAUCACCACCACUCCUCGGGGCACUCUCCUUGCCUUUGCUGAGGCCAGGAAAAUGUCAGCAUCGGAUAAAGGAGCUAAGUUCAUUGCUCUGCGGAGGUCCACGGACCAGGGCAGCACAUGGUCUCCAACAGCUUUCAUUGUGGACGAUGGGGAGAGCCCAGAUGGGCUGAACUUGGGGGCAGUGGUGAGCGAUACAACAACAGGAGUGGUCUUCCUUUUCUACUCCCUCUGUGCUCACAAGGCUGGCUGCCAGGUGGCCUCCACCAUGCUGGUGUGGAGCAAGGAUGACGGCAUUUCCUGGAGUUCGCCUCGGAACCUCUCCUUGGACAUAGGCACUGAGAUGUUUGCCCCCGGACCGGGCUCUGGCAUUCAGAAACAGCGGGAGCCUCGGAAGGGCCGGCUCAUUGUGUGUGGCCACGGGACGCUGGAGCGGGACGGGGUCUUCUGCCUCCUCAGCGAUGACCGCGGCGCCUCCUGGCACUAUGGGAGUGGGGUCAGCGGCAUCCCCUAUGGCCAGCCCAAGCGGGAAAAUGAUUUCAGCCCCGACGAGUGCCAGCCCUUUGAGCUCCCCGAUGGCUCAGUGGUCAUCAAUGCCCGGAACCAGAACAACUACCACUGCCGCUGCCGAAUCAUCCUCCGCAGCUAUGAUGCCUGUGAUACUCUGAGGCCCCGUGAUGUGACCUUUGACCCUGAGCUCGUGGACCCUGUGGUAGCCGCAGGAGCUGUGGCCACCAACUCCGGCAUUGUCUUCUUCUCCAACCCAGCCCAUCCAGAGUUCCGAGUGAACCUGACCCUGCGCUGGAGCUUCAGCAAUGGCACCUCAUGGCAGAAGGAGACGGUUCAGCUGUGGCCGGGGCCCAGUGGCUACUCCUCACUGGCAACCCUGGAGGGCAGUGUGGGCGGGGAGGACCAGGCCCCGCAACUCUAUGUCCUGUAUGAGAAAGGCCGGAAACAGUACAUAGAGAGCAUCUCCCUGGCCAAAGUCAGCGUCUAUGGGACACUCUGAGCUGUACACCUGCCAAGGGGAUAGAAGGCCCUGGACUCAGCCUCAGGACCAUGGGUCUGUAGAGGGUCUACUGGAGGAGCCUAGAAGACGGUUCCACCUUCCUUUAAAGUCUAGCGUUUUGCAAAAUCAACUUCUCUUUGACAGGGAAAUCAUUCCUUAGGACUAAAAACCUGGCUUCUCCCACAUAGGAAGAGCUGCCCACACGUGGGAGCACUUCUCUUCCACAUUGCUGGGUCUGCCCUCUCAGGGCAAUGAUUGGUCCUUUUCUUGGACAGGGCUAGGUGGGCCUGUAGCAUUAAAUAAAUGUGAACUCAGGGAAUUGGGGAAGGCUUACCUCUUUGGGGUAAGAUACUGGCUUUGGAGAGAGUUGGUGAAAGUUCCAGAAGGGCAGGACAUUUGGUUUCAAGGUGGGGUGAGAUACUGUCCUCCAUGAAACAGGGAGCAGGUGUGUUAAAUGCAGAUGAGAAGCCUCUCCCAGGCCAGCCUGGCAGAGAAAUGAGCACUGUGGCAAUUAUGUGACACAACAACAUCUCAUCCUAAAGGAGAUGCUGUGAAAAGAACAGCUGAGUGGGACAGCCACAGCUUUUCUCCAUAUGGAAAGAAAAUGCAAUGCCCGGAUGAGACGAAGAAUGUCAGCAAAUAAGUGUAGAAAGAAUAAUCAAAGUGGAAAAUCAUCAUUUUGCAAACUU